This 164-nucleotide unclassified non-coding RNA is filed under the name uncultured Diaporthales. RNAcentral's name for it is "sequence contains ITS2". Lineage: Eukaryota; Fungi; Ascomycota; Sordariomycetes; Diaporthales. The record is from RNAcentral.
CACCCCUCAAGCCUUGCUUGGUGUUGGAGCACUACCGCUUUUUCAUAAGUGGUAGGCUCUGAAAUUCAGUGGCGGGCUCGCUAAGACUCUGAGCGUAGUAGUUUAUCACCUCGCUUUGGAAGGAUUAGCGGUGCUCUUGCCGUAAAACCCCCCAAAUUUCUGAA